GGAAAAGAAACCAACAGGGAUUGCCUCAGUACACGGCGAGUGAAGCGGCAACAGCUCAAAUUUGAAAUCUGGCUCUUUCAGGGUCCGAGUUGUAAUUUGUAGAAGAUGCUUUGGGUGUAGCUCCGGUCUAAGUUCCUUGGAACAGGACGUCAUAGAGGGUGAGAAUCCCGUACGUGACUGGGGUGCUUUCGCUCGUGUAAAGCUCUUUCGACGAGUCGAGUUGUUUGGGAAUGCAGCUCAAAAUGGGUGGUAAAUUUCAUCUAAAGCUAAAUAUUGGCCAGAGACCGAUAGCGCACAAGUAGAGUGAUCGAAAGAUGAAAAGCACUUUGGAAAGAGAGUUAAACAGUACGUGAAAUUGUUGAAAGGGAAGCGCUUGCAACUAGACUUGCACGCUGUUGAUCAUCCGAGGUUUUCCCCGGUGCACUCGGCAGCGUUCAGGCCAGCAUCGGUUUUGGUGGGCGGAUAAAGGCCUUGGGAAUGUAGCUUCUUUCGGGGAGUGUUAUAGCCCUCGGUGCAAUGCGCCCUACCGGGACCGAGGACCGCGCUUCGGCUAGGAUGCUGGCGUAAUGGUUGUAAGCGACCCGUCUUGAAACACGGACC
Molecule: ribosomal RNA, 600 nt
Filed under: Hymenoscyphus sp. ectomycorrhiza T7/2
Lineage: Eukaryota; Fungi; Ascomycota; Leotiomycetes; Helotiales; Helotiaceae
Description: eukaryotic LSU rRNA
Rfam family: Eukaryotic large subunit ribosomal RNA
Source: RNAcentral